AGUGAACGCUGGCGGUAGGCCUAACACAUGCAAGUCGAACGGCAGCACAGUAAGAGCUUGCUCUUACGGGUGGCGAGUGGCGGACGGGUGAGGAAUACAUCGGAAUCUACUUUUUCGUGGGGGAUAACGUAGGGAAACUUACGCUAAUACCGCAUACGACCUACGGGUGAAAGCAGGGGAUCUUCGGACCUUGCGCGAUUGAAUGAGCCGAUGUCGGAUUAGCUAGUUGGCGGGGUAAAGGCCCACCAAGGCGACGCUCCGUAGCUGGUCUGAGAGGGUGAUCAGCCACACUGGAACUGAGACACGGUCCAGACUCCUACGGGAGGCAGCAGUGGGGAAUAUUGGAGAAUGGGCGCAAGCCUGAUCCAGCCAUACCGCGUGGGUGAAGAAGGCCUUCGGGUUGUAAAGCCCUUUUGUUGGGAAAGAAAAGCAGCAGGUUAAUACCCCGCUGUUCUGACGGUACCCAAAGAAUAAGCACCGGCUAACUUCGUG
This 492-nucleotide ribosomal RNA is filed under the name uncultured bacterium. Its description in RNAcentral is "partial 16S ribosomal RNA". It matches the Rfam family "Bacterial small subunit ribosomal RNA", at positions 29 to 507 of the family's 1533-position model. The record is from RNAcentral.